RNAcentral lists this ribosomal RNA (49 nucleotides) under Chenopodium suecicum. The record is from RNAcentral. Lineage: Eukaryota; Viridiplantae; Streptophyta; Magnoliopsida; Caryophyllales; Amaranthaceae.
GUAGUACUAGGAUGGGUGACCUCCUGGGACGUCCUCGUGUUGCACCCCU